AGUGAACGCUGGCGGUAGGCCUAACACAUGCAAGUCGAACGGCAGCACAGUAAGAGCUUGCUCUUACGGGUGGCGAGUGGCGGACGGGUGAGGAAUACAUCGGAAUCUAAUUUUUCGUGGGGGAUAACGUAGGGAAACUUACGCUAAUACCGCAUACGACCUACGGGUGAAAGCAGGGGAUCUUCGCACCUUGCGCGAUUGAAUGAGCCGAUGUCGGAUUAGCUAGUUGGCGGGGUAAAGGCCCACCAAGGCGACGAUCCGUAGCUGGUCUGAGAGGAUGAUCAGCCACACUGGAACUGAGACACGGUCCAGACUCCUACGGGAGGCAGCAGUGGGGAAUAUUGGACAAUGGGCGCAAGCCUGAUCCAGCCAUACCGCGUGGGUGAAGAAGGCCUUCGGGUUGUAAAGCCCUUUUGUUGGGAAAGAAAAGCAGCAGGUUAAUACCCCGCUGUUCUGACGGUACCCAAAGAAUAAGCACCGGCUAACUUCGUG
Molecule: ribosomal RNA, 492 nt
Filed under: uncultured bacterium
Lineage: Bacteria
Description: partial 16S ribosomal RNA
Rfam family: Bacterial small subunit ribosomal RNA
Source: RNAcentral